UAAGGAAUAUUGGUCAAUGGACGCAAGUCUGAACCAGCCAUGCCGCGUGGAGGAUUAAGGCCCUCUGGGUUGUAAACUCCUUUUAUCUGGGAAGAAAUGUACUUUUUCUUGAGUACUUGACGGUACCAGAGGAAUAAGCACCGGCUAACUCCGUGCCAGCAGCCGCGGUAAUACGGAGGGUGCAAGCGUUAUCCGGAUUCACUGGGUUUAAAGGGUGCGUAGGUGGGCAGGUAAGUCAGUGGUGAAAUCUCCGGGCUUAACCCGGAAACUGCCGUUGAUACUAUUUGUCUUGAAUAUUGUGGAGUUAAGCGGAAUAUGUCAUGUAGCGGUGAAAUGCUUAGAUAUUACAUAGAACACCAAUUGCGAAGGCAGCUUACUACACAAUCAUUGACGCUGAGGCACGAAAGCGUGGGGAUCAAACA
RNAcentral lists this ribosomal RNA (422 nucleotides) under uncultured bacterium. RNAcentral's name for it is "bacterial SSU rRNA". It matches the Rfam family "Bacterial small subunit ribosomal RNA", at positions 355 to 774 of the family's 1533-position model. The record is from RNAcentral.